RNAcentral lists this ribosomal RNA (279 nucleotides) under uncultured soil bacterium. RNAcentral's name for it is "partial 16S ribosomal RNA". It matches the Rfam family "Bacterial small subunit ribosomal RNA", at positions 26 to 309 of the family's 1533-position model. The record is from RNAcentral.
AGGACGAACGCUGGCGGCGUGCUUAACACAUGCAAGUCGAGCGGAAAGGCCCUUCGGGGUACUCGAGCGGCGAACGGGUGAGUAACACGUGAGUAAUCUGCCCAUCGCUUCAGGAUAGCCAUCGGAAACGGUGAUUAAUACUGGAUAUGACAUUCCUUCGCAUGUUGGGGUGUGGAAAGUUUUUUCGGCGGUGGAUGUGCUCGCGGCCUAUCAGCUUGUUGGUGGGGUAAUGGCCUACCAAGGCUUUGACGGGUAGCCGGCCUGAGAGGGUGACCGGCC